This 482-nucleotide ribosomal RNA is filed under the name uncultured bacterium. RNAcentral's name for it is "partial 16S ribosomal RNA". It matches the Rfam family "Bacterial small subunit ribosomal RNA", at positions 355 to 826 of the family's 1533-position model. The record is from RNAcentral.
UGGGGAAUAUUGCACAAUGGGCGCAAGCCUGAUGCAGCCAUGCCGCGUGUGUGAAGAAGGCCUUCGGGUUGUAAAGCACUUUCAGCGAGGAGGAAGGCGUUAAGGUUAAUAACCUUGGCGAUUGACGUUACUCGCAGAAGAAGCACCGGCUAACUCCGUGCCAGCAGCCGCGGUAAUACGGAGGGUGCAAGCGUUAAUCGGAAUUACUGGGCGUAAAGCGCACGCAGGCGGUUUGUUAAGUCAGAUGUGAAAUCCCCGAGCUUAACUUGGGAACUGCAUUUGAAACUGGCAAGCUAGAGUCUUGUAGAGGGGGGUAGAAUUCCAGGUGUAGCGGUGAAAUGCGUAGAGAUCUGGAGGAAUACCGGUGGCGAAGGCGGCCCCCCUGGACAAAGACUGACGCUCAGGUGCGAAAGCGUGGGGCAGCAAACAGGAUUAGAUACCCUGGUAGUCCAGCGCUGUAAACGAUGUCGAUUUGGAGGUUG